CGCCCUUAGAGUUUGAUCAUGGCUCAGAUUGAAUGCUGGCGGCAGGCUUAACACAUGCAAGUCGAGCGGUAGGAGAGCUUGCUCUCUACGAGCGGCGGACGGGUGAGUAAUGUCUGGGAAACUGCCUGAUGGAGGGGGAUAACUACUGGAAACGGUAGCUAAUACCGCAUAAUGUCGCAAGACCAAAGAGGUUCGUCUUGCCAUCAGAUGUGCCCAGAUGGGAUUAGCUAGUAGGUGGGGUAAUGGCUCACCUAGGCGACGAUCCCUAGCUGGUCUGAG
Molecule: ribosomal RNA, 279 nt
Filed under: uncultured Serratia sp.
Lineage: Bacteria; Pseudomonadati; Pseudomonadota; Gammaproteobacteria; Enterobacterales; Yersiniaceae
Description: partial 16S ribosomal RNA
Rfam family: Bacterial small subunit ribosomal RNA
Source: RNAcentral